This 509-nucleotide small RNA is filed under the name Arabidopsis thaliana (thale cress). Its description in RNAcentral is "ATSL163870". The record is from RNAcentral. Lineage: Eukaryota; Viridiplantae; Streptophyta; Magnoliopsida; Brassicales; Brassicaceae.
AAAAGAAAAAAACCGAAAACAAAGAGGGAUGCAACACGAAGACUUUCCUGGAGGUCACCCAUCCUAGUACUACUCUCACCCAAGCACACUUAACUGUGGUGUUCUGAUAGGAUCAAGUGCAUUAGUGCUGGUAUGAUCGCAUCAGUUACUACAUGCAAUGCAAUCGUAUCUAUUAUUUUUUGAAGACUUUAUGAUCCAUUUGCCGUGGGUCCCACCAGCUAUGUAGGAAUACCCUAUCUUGUUUAUAAGAGCUUUGAUACAUCCAAAAUAUUCGAAAACAAUGUUGGAACGUAUAAGUUUUGCCCAGUAAUAUAGCAAAGAUCACGAAAAGGCCACAAAAAGUACAUUAAGGUAAAAAUUUAGAGUAGGAAACAAAAACAAUAGGAGAAUUCCAUUUUCCUUCCUCAAUCAUCGGAGAGUUCUUUUUGGGCUUUCCAAAAAGGUAUCACAUGCCAAGUUUGGCCUCACGGUCUAAAAGUUAUAGAGUAAUACAUUUUUAACAAAAAAAA